UGGGGAAUAUUGCACAAUGGGGGAAACCCUGAUGCAGCGACGCCGCGUGGAGGAAGAAGGUCUUCGGAUUGUAAACUCCUGUUGUUGGGGAAAGAAGGAUGGUACCCAACAAGGAAGUGACGGCUAACUACGUGCCAGCAGCCGCGGUAAAACGUAGGUCACAAGCGUUGUCCGGAAUUACUGGGUGUAAAGGGAGCGCAGGCGGGUAUGCAAGUUGGAAGUGAAAUACAUGGGCUCAACCCAUGAACUGCUUUCAAAACUGUGUAUCUUGAGUAGUGCAGAGGUAGGCGGAAUUCCCGGUGUAGCGGUGGAAUGCGUAGAUAUCGGGAGGAACACCAGUGGCGAAGGCGGCCUACUGGGCACCGAACUGACGCUGAGGCUCGAAAGUGU
RNAcentral lists this ribosomal RNA (390 nucleotides) under uncultured bacterium. RNAcentral's name for it is "bacterial SSU rRNA". It matches the Rfam family "Bacterial small subunit ribosomal RNA", at positions 355 to 762 of the family's 1533-position model. The record is from RNAcentral.